This is a long non-coding RNA of Pseudoliparis swirei, 3283 nucleotides long. RefSeq lists it as uncharacterized. NCBI's taxonomy places the organism in Eukaryota, Metazoa, Chordata, Actinopteri, Perciformes, Liparidae. The record is from RefSeq and is a predicted model, not a curated record. The transcript is spliced from 3 exons.
CUUUGGAGGAGGGAUGGCGUGUCAAUCCAUGUCUUCACGGCUCUCUUGGCUCAGUGAGGCACGCAGGAAACAUGGAAAAGUUUGCAGUUGAGAGUUGUGCCGCGCUUUUGAUGAAUAACAAUACAACACACGACAUCGUUUUCAACACACCCCAUGGCUUCCUGGGGUAAAGGGGAUGUUGCUUUUUAAAACUACAUGCAACACGUCGAUUGCAGUUUUCCAGACCUCUCCCGUGAUUAGAUCAGAAUGGGAUCCUUGUGUGCGUGAGUCGAGACACUGUGUGUGUGCAUUUUUGUCACAUAUUAUCUUAUCAUUUUUCCUCCUUCUCCUCCUUUGUCCUCGCUCCUCUCCUCAUUCUUUCUGCCGGUUAAUAUUUCAUUUGCUCUGCCGUGGUAGAGGGCUGGUACAUUAACCAGCGGUGCCAGUCGAGCUCUCUGCUUGUGGCUGGCUGUAUAAAAAUAAACACACUCUAGUUGUAAUGAACAGAUGUCACAGAAUUUAAACGUGCAUACCCCCCUCCUCCUCCACACACACAAACACACUUCACCCUUCUCUCCCACCUCCUCAUUCUUGCUCACGCGUAAAGGCGUACAUGCAUGCAUGCACACACUCAUGCAUCAACAUGUUUUCAGAAACACAGAUAGAAAUAUAGAGCUGCAGGAUCAGAACCCGUGUCCAUAUGAGUGCAUAUUGAUCAUACACGGAAACUCUUAUACAUUUAUUAGCUUUCCUUAAUAGAAGAGCACGCAUGGCAAGCAUUGUGUUGCUCUGCCAGUCUUUCAUUCUCAUUAUCCGCCUCUAUUUCCCCCUUUCUCCUCCUCCAACAGCAGGCGAACACUGAGGUCAUUUUACAGACUAUUUUCAUGAAGUCCUCCUAUCCACUUUGCAGAAUUCGCAUGUCAUCCUUUAGUCCCCAGCGGCACCAUCAGAACUAAUUUUGGUACUGUGAGGAAAGGAUAGGCACGGGUGUGUGUGUGUGUGUGUGUGUGUGUCCAUCCCCCUUGUCACUCCCGAUCUUUUCCCACUGAGCGUGUGCCAGCUCUCUGUGUUUGCUGGCUGACAGGACCGAAGGAGAGACGAUUGUUCUCCACGUAGCCAGAGACCCUCCCCUGCCAAGUCCGGGAUGAAAUCCUCGCUAACUCCUCACAGUCGGGCAUCUCACAGCAAAGCACACACCAUUACUGCUCCGGGCGGGAGGAUGCCGCUUAAAGUCAGUCAGACACACAAAGGUCUGCUUUAAAGUAACACUGCAUAAAGAUCUUUAUGUCGUUCGUCAAGUAUUUGUCGUUUAAGCCUUUAAAUGUUUAAAAAAAUCUUGAAGACAUGGACAGACAAUUUCAGCUAACAGGUAGAUAUGGCUUGGUUCAAGUCAAGGCUCAAUGUAUUGAUCCAUAAAAACCUUUGCAAUAACCUUUAAUCCCUCACAUCCACCAACACUGUUUGCCAAAACACAAAACCCUAAAUGUCUUUUCAGGAAGAAAAAGAGUUGAUGAGUUCGUUCUGGAUUACUUCUUCAAAGUGGAGUCGUCGUUUUAGGUUUGGAGGAUAUGUGGAAAGUACCGUGGCGUUAAUGGACCGAGCAGGUCGUCUCUAUGAUGACAGAAAAGGCGGGACACGCAAGAUUAAAGGUGACGGAGAAGGAUGAAGGAGAAGGGAGAGAUGAAAGAAAAAGAGGAGAGGUGCGGAGGUCGUCCGGGGGGUGAUCAGUGAGGUGGAUGCGAUGCCAUCUGACAGGUCCAGCUGGGAGACUGCCCGCCCCCCCAGCGCUGCAAACUGGUCAAUAUGGAGGCCAAUUACUCCUGCCCAUGUGACCAGGGCAUCAUCCAACCCUAUCAUAACACACGCGCACGCCCACACGCACGCUCACAUGCCAUCUGUGCAGACCAGCAAAGCAACGAGCCCCCCCCCUCGAAUCCAGUUGCGUCCCCGUGCACGCUCCUACUUAACCUCCUAAACAGGGGCCAGCCACGCCCCACCGCCGGACCCACCGACCGGAACGUACCGGAACUGGGCAUCCAGUGAAGAUGACGGAGAGCUGCCGGUGAGGUCAAGAAGACUUUCUCACAAACUCUCCGAACAAACACGUAUUGCGCGUCAACAUCUGGCCACCCGCCAAAAGCCCGAAACCUACCUGGCGCUCACCCGGAUCUCCACCUCUGCCUCCCCCCCAUGGUCGCCCCCUUUACCCCCCAACCUCCUCUCCCCUCCUCCCACGCCCUCCUCCUGCAGCCCUUGUUUCUCCCUUGGCAGGACCUCCAGCAUCUCUCUCUCAGUUUAGCUUCUGCCUCGUCUUCUGCCCCACUGCCCGCGCUGCAGCGUGCACCAUUGUGUGAUAACAAACAGAUGUUGUGGAAUUUCCUCUGAAUGGACUGCCAGUGACAGGCUCGCUCCCUCGCCUGGCAGUGUGGGGGCCAUGGCAUACAGUCUGGCAGAGAGGUUGGCCGAAGCCUGCACGAUUGUUUCCUUUGUGCAUGCGCAACAUUAUAGUUUGCAGUGCAGGUCAGAGAAGUUAACAAUGUGCAAUCUUUGGAGACAUUAAUUAUUCAAAUUGCGUGUGGUGUGUGUGUUGUAUUUUAAAAAAAUCUCAUCUGUGUCCAUUUCAGCUGCAUUGCUUCAUGUUUUUUUUGUAUCACUGUCUGAUUGCAAAUACUCACAAUCUCGUCACUAAAUUAUUUUACUCCCCUCUCCUUGAAACCCAUAAAGGCCUUUAUUCACCACAUAUUUUACAUCUAUAUUAUGAUUUGAUAUAUGCAUUUUGCAAAAACACUCGGUUAUUAUUUUAGCUAGACGUUAAUUGGAAUUCACACCAUAAUACUUGUGACAUUUUGAUAAUCGCACUAUUGACUGUUAUGUCGGACAAACACUCUUUUUUUCCUUACCAAGUUGAGUGAGAAAAAGAGUGGGCAUGAACAUGAUAAUUUAAACAGCGAGAUUCAUUCACUCACUUUUCAUCCUGAGUGCAGCACAGAGUGUCAUUGGAAGUUUUUUUAAUUUUAUUUCUUAAGGCUGACUGCAAAUGCGAGUUAAUAGUCAGACUUAUAUUUCCACAAUUAUGACAAAGUAUGGUAAAGUAUUAGAUGAGGAACUUCAUCGGUGCAAAAUAGGGAAAUAAUUCGUUUGUGGAAAUCGAUAAAAUGGUGGGAUCAGCCUAUAAAUCCCUCAGCUAGUGAUCUAAUUUACUAAACACCUGUGAAUUCCUUCAUUGGUAUUAUCAAUAAACAAUAAUAUGAUCUCUUCAUUGAAUAUGUGUGUGGCGUAUCUUUCUAACUGACGUUUUAGGAUA